AUUGAACGCUGGCGGCAUGCUCUACACAUGCAAGUCGAACGGUAACAGGCCGCAAGGUGCUGACGAGUGGCGAACAGGUGAGUAAUGCAUCGGAACGUGCCCAGUCGUGGGGGAUAACUACUCGAAAGAGUAGCUAAUACCGCAUACGAUCUAUGGAUGAAAGCGGGGGACCGUAAGGCCUCGCGCGAUUGGAGCGGCCGAUGUCAGAUUAGGUAGUUGGUGGGGUAAAGGCUCACCAAGCCAACGAUCUGUAGCUGGUCUGAGAGGACGACCAGCCACACUGGGACUGAGACACGGCCCAGACUCCUACGGGAGGCAGCAGUGGGGAAUUUUGGACAAUGGGCGCAAGCCUGAUCCAGCAAUGCCGCGUGCAGGAAGAAGGCCUUCGGGUUGUAAACUGCUUUUGUACGGAACGAAACGGCUCUGGUUAAUACCCGGGGCUAAUGACGGUACCGUAAGAAUAAGCACCGGCUAACUACGUG
RNAcentral lists this ribosomal RNA (482 nucleotides) under uncultured bacterium. Its description in RNAcentral is "partial 16S ribosomal RNA". It matches the Rfam family "Bacterial small subunit ribosomal RNA", at positions 30 to 507 of the family's 1533-position model. The record is from RNAcentral.